Molecule: long non-coding RNA, 888 nt
Filed under: Homo sapiens (human)
Lineage: Eukaryota; Metazoa; Chordata; Mammalia; Primates; Hominidae
Description: HSALNT0206498
Source: RNAcentral
GAUGGAAUGUCUUUUAGGAAAAGUGCAACACAAUUUGUGGUGUGUCCUUUUGAAUAGGAGACAAGAAAAAGCUCCUCCAUGCUCUGCUAGCUCAGAUUAUUCAUUGAAAGUAGAAAAAAUCUCCUGUCCUGAACCCGAAGCCACCUGAGUCUUUGCUUUUCGGAUGUGAUUUCAGGUAGACUUUUCUGGAAGACCCAGACCUCGAGUUGGAAUGGGGAGAACACUUAAACACUUGAUGUGCAGACAUCCUGAGCUUCAGCUGAUCUUACAAGCACAAAGGUCUUUUGUAGGAGGAAUGUACCUACAAAUGUCUGAAUCGUCUAAAAUAUCAGAACUUAUAAGUCAGCAUUUUCAUAUAAAAGUGAAUUAGAAGCAGUUUGAGAAUGCAGUGCUAAUUCAUAUAUGCAUACAUUCAUAACUUGCAUAAAUAUGUUAAAAGUUGUUUGGAAAUGUGACCCAAUGACAUGGAUCCUACUUCUAGACUUUUGAAAAUAUCUGCAUAUGGUUCUUAUCCUUUAGCACUAACAUGACACAUAUAAACAGAUGUAAAUAGCUAAAAGGGGCCUGUAAGCUACUUUGUAAGCACGGCAGGCAAAUACUUCACCAAACUUCUUGGCAUGGUGAAUAUCACCUCUGCCUACCUACACUGUGGGUGAAAGUCCUUAGACCUUGGGUUAUGAUGUAAGUCAUGGAUCUCAGAAUUAGGAAGGAUAUCUGAGGAACUUAGCAGAAUGAUUUAAUCAGUGUCAAGGCAACUUCUUCACCUUUUCAGAGUAGUGGUCACCCAGCCUGUUGGAAUAUGCCCCUCCAAGUGUGCUGAAAUUUACAGAGAUGAUAAGAAAAAAGUUAAUAUGGGGAUAACUAUUGUUAAUGUUUUGCUUAUUUCCU